RNAcentral lists this small nuclear RNA (20 nucleotides) under Arabidopsis thaliana (thale cress). RNAcentral describes it as "snRNA_12568". The record is from RNAcentral. Lineage: Eukaryota; Viridiplantae; Streptophyta; Magnoliopsida; Brassicales; Brassicaceae.
UUCUUUCUCAACAAACAGCA